RNAcentral lists this small nuclear RNA (22 nucleotides) under Arabidopsis thaliana (thale cress). Its description in RNAcentral is "snRNA_09392". The record is from RNAcentral. Lineage: Eukaryota; Viridiplantae; Streptophyta; Magnoliopsida; Brassicales; Brassicaceae.
CUCUCUCUCAUCUUUCUCUUUA